AAUCAACGCUGGCGGCGUGCCUCAGACAUGCAAGUCGAACGAUUAAAAGCUCCCUUCGGGGGAGUGUAUAGAGUGGCGCACGGGUGAGUAACACGUAAGUAAUCUACCCUCGAGUGGGGAAUAACGUCCGGAAACGGACGCUAAUACCGCAUAAUGCAGCGGCACCGCAAGGUGACAGUUGUUAAAGAUUUAUCGCUUGAGGAGGAGCUUGCGGCAGAUUAGCUAGNGGUAAGGUAAUGGCUUACCAAGGCUACGAUCUGUAACCGGUCUAAGAGGACGGUCGGUCACACUGACACUGAAUAACGGGUCAGACUCCUACGGGAGGCAGCAGUCGGGAAUUUUGGGCAAUGGGCGAAAGCCUGACCCAGCAACGCCGCGUGAAGGAUGAAGUAUUUCGUAUGUAACUACGAAGAAUGGGAAGAAUCAAUGACGUACCAUUUAUAAGGUCCGGCUAACUACGUG
Molecule: ribosomal RNA, 462 nt
Filed under: uncultured bacterium
Lineage: Bacteria
Description: bacterial SSU rRNA
Rfam family: Bacterial small subunit ribosomal RNA
Source: RNAcentral